CAGAUGUCUCCAAGCACAUAGGGCUUACAGUCUAGGGGUCAGUUUGGGACUGGGCCGUCAUUGUAUUUCACUGAAGGUCUCCAUAUGACAGGAUUUAGCACCCUCCAGGGGUAGUCUCAAGAAUCUAACCAGGUUAGUCCCUGAGAUCCAGAAAAUCGGUAUUGUCCCAUUGGUGAGUUUGACUUUUCUUUGACAAGGGAGCUUUCACCUUAUUUUAUUGUUUUACUGUUUUACUUUACUGUGUGUUGCAUUUUUAAAUGCACUUUAAAUAAAGUUCGAUUUGAUCUACCUAGCUCCAGCUGUCUGGUAUCAUAGUUGAUGAAACAUGGAAUAUUCAAAUACAAUUUUGGCUGAUCUCUGUCAUAGGCUUGCUGCUUCCCUCUCCAAAACCCGGUACUUACUCUGAUCUGCAGCAGGGCCCAUUUAGUCCUGGGCUAAGGUUGGUGUUAUGCACUUUAGAGUGUGAAAGUAUUCAAUGUUUCUUAGCUUUGCUGCAGUCUAAAAGAGGUCAUUUUCCAAACCAACAUUUUGCAGUGUGAAAAGCCCUGGCUUAUAGAGUGUCUCUUCCACUAACCUACAUUUUGGCUGAAUAGGAUCAUUCAUUGUACGAUGAUCCACCUACAUUUUAUAUGAGACAGAUUUGACAUGUUCUGCAUACUGCAGGUCUAUGGGAUGUUCAAAAGUAGGCCACUUACUGAGGGAAAGCUAGAUUCAAUCCGAUCACCACUUUCCGGUGGUCAUGGCUAGAAGGGUUGCAGCUAAUGUCAAAGUGAUGUCAAAAGUAGCAUGUUUGAGUCACUUUGGGGAGAAUUUUACAAUUUUAGUUAACCCUAAUUAUUUCCCUAACCUUAACUUAAUUGUCCUAAUUUGCAACGUUAAUUAUCCUAACCUGGCGUGUAAAUUCUCCUAACCUGCUACGAAAAGUCGGUUUGGAUGGCAACUGCUUGGCAUUGGACCACAACGAGGAGCUACAGAACCUACAGAGGGAACAUCCCUGGGGCCGAGCUCCCUACCAUCCAGGAUCGGUAGCCUGACGGGUAGAUGCGUUGGCCCAGUAACCGAAUGGUUGGUGGAUUGAAUCCCCGAGCUGACAAGGAAAAAAUCUGUGGUGUUCUGUCCCUGAACAAGGCAGUUAACCCAUUGUUCCCCGGGCGCUGAUGACGUAGCUGUCGAUUAUGUCAGCACCCGCACCUCACUGAUUCACAGGUGUUGGGUUAAAUGUAGAAGACACAUUACAGUUGAAUGCAUUCAGUUGUACAACUGACUAGGUAUCCCCCUUUCCCUCUAUACCAGGCAGUGUCAGAGGAAGGCCCUACAAAUAGUCAAAUACUCCAGCCACCCAAGUCAUAGACUGUUCUCACUUCUGGCUGCAAUGCUACCUCACGACAAGCGGUACCGAUGCACCAAGUCUGGAACCAACAGGCCCCUGAACAGCUUCUACCCCCAAGCCAUAAGACUGAUAAAUAGUUGAUCAUAUACCUACCUGGACUAUCUGCAUUGACACUUUUCGCACUCACUUUUUUUUUACUCAUCACGCACUGUAUGCUGCUGCUGCUGUCACUUUAUUCAUAGUUCUCCCUAUAUAGCCUACAUCUCUGCCUCAAUUACCCCUGCACAUGGUACUGGUAUUCCUUGAUUUUAGCAAGUUAUCGUUGCUCAUUGUGCCUGCUUUUAUUAUGACCUGUUUUACUUUUCUAUUAUGUCUAUAUUGUCUUUCUCUCUGCAUAGUUGAGAUGUAAGUAAGCAUUUCACUGUUAGUCCA
Long non-coding RNA from Oncorhynchus tshawytscha (Chinook salmon), 1762 nucleotides. Lineage: Eukaryota; Metazoa; Chordata; Actinopteri; Salmoniformes; Salmonidae. The record is from Ensembl.